This 479-nucleotide ribosomal RNA is filed under the name uncultured soil bacterium. RNAcentral describes it as "bacterial SSU rRNA". It matches the Rfam family "Bacterial small subunit ribosomal RNA", at positions 26 to 518 of the family's 1533-position model. The record is from RNAcentral.
AGGACAAACGCUGGCGGGGUGCAUGAGACAUGCAAGUCGAACGAGGUGCCAUCGGGCUUGCUCGAUGGUUACCUAGUGGCGGACGGCUGAGUAACGCGUAGGUGACCUACCCGGAAGUGGGGAAUAACUGCCCGAAAGGGUGGCUAAUACCGCAUGUGGUCGGCGAUUCGAUUCGCCGUCUAAAGGAGCAAUUCGCUUCCGGAGGGGCCUGCGUCCGAUUAGCUAGUUGGUGGGGUAACGGCUCACCAAGGCGACGAUCGGUAGCUGGUCUGAGAGGAUGAUCAGCCAGACUGGGACUGAGAACGGCCCAGACUCCUACGGGAGGCAGCAGUCGGGAAUUUGCCCAAUGGACGAAAGUCUGAGGCAGCAACUCGCGUGAGGGAUGAAGGCUCGUCGGGUCGUAAACCUCUUUUUCUCAGGAAGAUCCAAGACGGUACCUGAGGAAUAAGCGACGGACUAACGUACGUGCCAGCAGCCGC